RNAcentral lists this ribosomal RNA (253 nucleotides) under uncultured bacterium. RNAcentral's name for it is "partial 16S ribosomal RNA". It matches the Rfam family "Bacterial small subunit ribosomal RNA", at positions 524 to 776 of the family's 1533-position model. The record is from RNAcentral.
UACGAAGGGGGCUAGCGUUGCUCGGAAUCACUGGGCGUAAAGCGCACGUAGGCGGAUCUUUAAGUCAGGGGUGAAAUCCCAAGGCUCAACCUUGGAACUGCCUUUGAUACUGGGGAUCUCGAGUCCGGAAGAGGUUGGUGGAACUGCGAGUGUAGAGGUGAAAUUCGUAGAUAUUCGGAAGAACACCAGUGGCGAAGGCGGCCAACUGGUCCGGUACUGACGCUGAGGUGCGAAAGCGUGGGGAGCAAACAGG